Molecule: microRNA, 25 nt
Filed under: Eptesicus fuscus (big brown bat)
Lineage: Eukaryota; Metazoa; Chordata; Mammalia; Chiroptera; Vespertilionidae
Description: efu-miR-9357
Source: miRBase by way of RNAcentral
UCCAAGCCAUGAUGGUGGACUGGGG